Molecule: ribosomal RNA, 465 nt
Filed under: uncultured bacterium
Lineage: Bacteria
Description: partial 16S ribosomal RNA
Rfam family: Bacterial small subunit ribosomal RNA
Source: RNAcentral
GACGAACGCUGGCGGCGUGCUUAACACAUGCAAGUCGAACGGAAAGGCCCCUUUGGGGGUACUCGAGUGGCGAACGGGUGAGUAACACGUGAGUAACCUGCCCUUGACUUCGGGAUAACUUCAGGAAACUGGGGCUAAUACCGGAUAGGAAUCCUUGCUGCAUGGUGGGGGUUGGAAAGCUUCGGCGGUUUUGGAUGGACUCGCGGCUUAUCAGCUUGUUGGUGGGGUAGUGGCUUACCAAGGCUUUGACGGGUAGCCGGCCUGAGAGGGCGACCGGCCACAUUGGGACUGAGAUACGGCCCAGACUCCUACGGGAGGCAGCAGUGGGGAAUAUUGCACAAUGGGCGGAAGCCUGAUGCAGCAACGCAGCGUGCGGGAUGACGGCCUUCGGGUUGUAAACCGCUUUCAGCAGGGGCGAAGCUUGUGGUGACGGUACCUGCAGAAGAAGCACCGGCUAACUACGUG